RNAcentral lists this ribosomal RNA (465 nucleotides) under uncultured bacterium. RNAcentral's name for it is "partial 16S ribosomal RNA". It matches the Rfam family "Bacterial small subunit ribosomal RNA", at positions 338 to 795 of the family's 1533-position model. The record is from RNAcentral.
CCUACGGGGGGCAGCAGUGGGGAAUAUUGCGCAAUGGGCGCAAGCCUGACGCAGCGACGCCGCGUGAGGGAUGAAGGUCCUCGGAUUGUAAACCUCUGUCAGCAGGGAAGAACGGUCACUGUGCUAUUCAUCAGUGAGUUGACGGUACUCUCAAAGUAAGCACCGGCUAACUCCGUGCCAGCAGCCGCGGUAAUACGGAGGGUGCGAGCGUUAAUCGGAAUUACUGGGCGUAAAGCGCUCGUAGGCGGUAGGUCAAGUCAAGGGUGAAAUCCCCGCGCUCAACGUGGGAACUGCCUUUGUGACUGGCAAGCUGGAGUGUGUGAGAGGAUGGUGGAAUUCCAGGUGUAGGAGUGAAAUCCGUAGAUAUGUGGAAGAACAUCGAUGGCGAAGGCAGCUAUCUGGCACAUAACUGACGCUGAGGAGCGAAAGCGUGGGUAGCAAACAGGAUUAGAUACCCCGGUAGUC